UACGUAGGGCGCAAGCGUUAUCCGGAAUUAUUGGGCGUAAAGGGCUCGUAGGCGGUUUGUCGCGUCGGGCGUGAAAACACCGGGCUUAACUCGGUGCUUGCUUUCGAUACGGGCAGACUAGAGGCAUGCAGGGGAGAACGGAAUUCCUGGUGUAGCAGUGAAAUGCGCAGAUAUCAGGAGGAACACCGGUGGCGAAGGCGGUUCUCUGGGCAUGUCCUGACGCUGAGGAGCGAAAGUGUGGGGAGCGAACAGG
This 253-nucleotide ribosomal RNA is filed under the name uncultured bacterium. RNAcentral's name for it is "partial 16S ribosomal RNA". It matches the Rfam family "Bacterial small subunit ribosomal RNA", at positions 524 to 776 of the family's 1533-position model. The record is from RNAcentral.